UGCGACGUCACACUGCCGAGAAAAGCUUCUAGCCAGAGACGGUGCACCCGUACCGCAAACCGACACAGGUAGUCGAGGAGAGUAUCCUCAGGUGAGCGAGAGAACUCUCGUUAAGGAACUCGGCAAAAUGGCCCCGUAACUUCGGGAGAAGGGGCGCUGGUCGCAAGAUCAGCCGCAGUGAAAAGGCCCAAGCAACUGUUUAUCAAAAACACAGGCAUCUGCAAAAUCGUAAGAUGAAGUAUAGGUGCUGACACCUGCCCGGUGCUGGAAGGUUAAGAGGAGAGCUUAGCGCAAGCGAAGGUUUGAAUUGAAGCCCCAGUAAACGGCGGCCGUAACUAUAACGGUCCUAAGGUAGCGAAAUUCCUUGUCGGGUAAGUUCCGACCUGCACGAAAGGUGUAAUGAUUUGGGCACUGUCUCAACGAGAGACUCGGUGAAAUUAUAAUACCCGUGAAGAUGCGGGUUACCCGCGACAGGACGGAAAGACCCCAUGGAGCUUUACUGCAGUUUAAUAUUGGGUAUCUGUCAAGCAUGUACAGGAUAGGUAGGAGCCGGAGAAGAUAGGACGCCAGUCUUAUC
Molecule: ribosomal RNA, 577 nt
Filed under: Lactobacillus delbrueckii
Lineage: Bacteria; Bacillati; Bacillota; Bacilli; Lactobacillales; Lactobacillaceae
Also listed under: 1 other name
Description: partial 23S ribosomal RNA
Rfam family: Bacterial large subunit ribosomal RNA
Source: RNAcentral